CCAUAACCAUACAGGCGUGCAUGGGACUUCGGUAAUUUUCCACUAUGCUUAACAAAGGCUGGUGCAGACGCGAAGGAGUGCAGUAACAAAGAGACGAAUAUGUGCAAGCGGACCGUGAUCAAUAAACACACUUUAUACGCAGAUUCGACGGAGAUGGAAGCUGGGAUUUGGAAGGUUCGACCACCGCCAAGCUAUUUCCUCGUUUGCUUGUGCCCAGACUUUGCAAUGAGGAUGUCUCUUUCUUUCACGGCCUUACAGACGGCUUGUUUGGUUCAGCUGCUGUCAAGGGACUGCAGAGGAUGCUAGAGAGAGCGCGGGUCCAACAUUGUUCGCUGUAGUCAGGGGCUCCCAAGGACAAGAUGAUAUUAUCACACUCGGAGAGAUGUGUGCUUGUGUGUGUGCCCAUGUAAGCAACGGCAACUU
Stegastes partitus (bicolor damselfish) is the source of this 423-nucleotide long non-coding RNA. RefSeq lists it as uncharacterized. NCBI's taxonomy places the organism in Eukaryota, Metazoa, Chordata, Actinopteri, Pomacentridae. The record is from RefSeq and is a predicted model, not a curated record. The transcript has 3 exons.